GACGAACCGUGCGAACGUUGUUCGGAAUCACUGGGCUUAAAGGGCGCGUAGGCGGCUGACCGAGUCCGGGGUGAAAUCCUCCCGCCCAACGGGAGAAGUGCCUUGGAUACUGGUCAGCUCGAGCGGGGUAGAGGCAGGUGGAAUUCCGGGUGUAGCGGUGGAAUGCGUAGAGAUCCGGAAGAACACCGGUGGCGAAGGCGGCCUGCUGGGCAGUGGCUGACGCUGAGGCGCGACAGCGUGGGGAGCAAACAGG
Molecule: ribosomal RNA, 253 nt
Filed under: uncultured bacterium
Lineage: Bacteria
Description: partial 16S ribosomal RNA
Rfam family: Bacterial small subunit ribosomal RNA
Source: RNAcentral